UGCACAUCUAGAAGAUGCGUCUACCCUGUGCUCUUGUGACUCUCUCUCCUUCCAUUUGUCAUCUUUCUCAUUAAAGAAGAGCUUACUUGUUAGCUGCUUUGCCAACUCCAAGAUUUAUAGGAGCUGAAGAGAGUAUUUCAGGCAGGGAAGAGAAGGACUGCACUGACCACAAACUCCCGGAACUCUUCAAGAAGUAAAUGUAUUAAAGAACCUGGGUUGGCAACUGAAGGUGAAUGCUGUUUAGUAGCGAUGUCACUGUGGAGCACAUAUAAAAAAAAUGCUCCAAAGACCCAAUGGCCUCCUGACGCAGACUGUUUUGCUGUCUUUCUGUUUUUCCCUUCCAUGUGCUCCAAAGAAGUAUCUGCACUAGAUUUGGAAAUUUUGACUGGACUCAUUACAGAUCCUGCAAGGUGUUAUCCGGAUUCUCAUCUUAUACACUUUCAUAGCUGACUUGGAAGUUUAGAAAUGUACAUUUCAUUGGAAGUCAGGAAGAUAUGAUUAAAAAAUGAUUUUGGUGCCUGUCUUGAAUGGUUUCAAUGAAAAGAAGACAGAAAAUGAAGAAAAAAACCACAUUCUUCGAAUCACAGUCUUUGUCCCAAAGGCAGCACACGCCUCUGACACCCCCGUCCACUCCUCCUGCCAGCUUCGCUCUAGAGAGAAAGCUGUGAAGAUAGAAUUGACCAGACUCCAGCUAUUUUAUGCAUACAGUAGUUUGGUCCCUUAAAAUUUGAAUUAUGGACCACAUUGCUUUCUCCUGGAAAAUCUCUCAGAAGGGGAAAAGGUAUUCCAAUGACAACAUGAGUGUGAAUUUAUGUGGAGACUAAGCGGACCCAAAAGUAUUCAUUUUGAUUUUAUUGUUAGAACUAUCCGUAGAGAACUAACCACUUCAUUAGCAUGCCCCUGGCACUGGGGCGAAGAGCUGAAGUUUCAUUCUUCCGGACAUCGUGUUACUCACUUAGCCCUCUCAUCAUCGCUAAAUACACUUUCUACUCAACACAACCAGAUCCAAUGCAGUCACCUCGUCUGAGUAACACCUUAUUUUACAGACCUGACUUGCCCCAGCAAACACUUCUGGAGUGCCAAACCAGUGAUGGUUGCUACAGUUAUUUUCUCAUCUGCUCCUGUUUCAGAGGAGGAUAUGUAUCAGAAAUAAGAAAAUGGCCUGAGAAGAAACAAGAAAGAGGUGAACUGCUAAAAGCAAUGCCAACUAUGGAAAAUUAUCAGCUACCUAAAAUCUUUUAUUUCUGUUUGUGGCACAAAAGUGUGGCUCAAAGAAUCAUACUGAAAAAAGAAAUUUUAAACAAUGUUUUGGCUAGGUACAAAUAUGAAAUAAAUGUUUUGGUUGUUUCUUGCCUUCUUUUGUUGUAAUGUUACAUGCCAAUGCAGUCUAAAUUGCAAAGGAUGCACUCAGUUCUACAUCCUGCUAGCUGGGUGCAUUAGGUUUAGUAAAGUGAUUUAAAAGAAAUUCUAAUAACCAUAUGAAGAUGCUACUGAUUCAUUGCUAGAGCUGUGGUCAGCAUUAUGGUUCAGAGCUUUCCCUUACAGCACAAUAUACCCUCCCUCUUAAUUUCUUUUCCAAAUAAAUUCUUCACAGUUUUGUAAAAAAUGAAUGUU
This 1614-nucleotide long non-coding RNA is filed under the name Struthio camelus australis. Its description in RNAcentral is "lncRNA (ENSSCUG00000004325.1)". Lineage: Eukaryota; Metazoa; Chordata; Aves; Struthioniformes; Struthionidae. The record is from RNAcentral.